ACAUAUUCUGUGCUCGAUCUCAAAAACAUUUCUAAGAAGGGGAAGUCAAGUCCUGCACCAGCGGAUGAAACUGUUUAUUCUGAACUCAAACCAGGAACAUUUCUUGGUAAAAAUGCAGCGUAACAUCAUAUCAAACAAUGUCUUCUGUAAGGACAAGAUGAAUGGAAACAAUAUACCAAAACGAAACCUUUGUUUAUUAAACCUUAUUUACA
This is a long non-coding RNA of Trematomus bernacchii (emerald rockcod), 212 nucleotides long. RefSeq lists it as uncharacterized. The record is from RefSeq and is a predicted model, not a curated record. Lineage: Eukaryota; Metazoa; Chordata; Actinopteri; Perciformes; Nototheniidae. The transcript has 3 exons.